ACCGUCCUUAUCUGGGGGAGCGUAUUGGUCAAUGAGCGACAAGUGAGGCCAAUCAUGCUGAUACCCAUCGAUAAACAAACCCACGGCACGUUACGCUACGGUGUAGUAGUUGUCGUAAUUUUUGGAACC
This is a small nuclear RNA of Paramacrobiotus metropolitanus, 129 nucleotides long. RefSeq annotates it as U4atac minor spliceosomal RNA. The record is from RefSeq and is a predicted model, not a curated record. The transcript has a single exon. Lineage: Eukaryota; Metazoa; Tardigrada; Eutardigrada; Parachela; Macrobiotidae.